Molecule: ribosomal RNA, 322 nt
Filed under: uncultured Sandonidae
Lineage: Eukaryota; Cercozoa; Glissomonadida; Viridiraptoridae
Description: SSU rRNA
Rfam family: Eukaryotic small subunit ribosomal RNA
Source: RNAcentral
GAUUUCUGGCGUUUCAUUUCAGGCCGGCCACGGUUUCGUGUGUUAGUGCUUGAUGUUCUGGCCAUCCUUCCAAUUGCUAUUCACUUCUCUUCAUUGAUUGGUGAGUGGUAUUGGAUCUUUUACUUUGAAAAAAUUAGAGUGUUUCAAGCAGGCUUUAUGCUAUGAAUACAUUAGCAUGGAAUAAUAAUUUAGGACUUCGGUUCUAUUUUGUUGGUUUCUAGGACUGAAGUAAUGAUUGAUAGGGAUAGUUGGGGGUGCUAGUAUUCAGCGGCCAGAGGUGAAAUUCUCGGAUUCGCUGAAGACUAACUUAUGCGAAAGCAUU